This 3138-nucleotide ribosomal RNA is filed under the name Glaesserella parasuis. RNAcentral describes it as "23S ribosomal RNA". It matches the Rfam family "Bacterial large subunit ribosomal RNA". The record is from RNAcentral. Lineage: Bacteria; Pseudomonadati; Pseudomonadota; Gammaproteobacteria; Pasteurellales; Pasteurellaceae.
GUUGUAUGGUUAAGUGACUAAGCGUACACGGUGGAUGCCUAGGCAAUCAGAGGCGAAGAAGGACGUGCUAAUCUGCGAAAAGCUUGGAUGAGUUGAUAAGAAGCGUUUAAUCCAAGAUAUCCGAAUGGGGAAACCCAGUAGAUGAAGAAUCUACUAUCAAUAGAUGAAUACAUAGUCUGUUGAGGCAAACCGGGAGAACUGAAACAUCUAAGUACCCCGAGGAAAAGAAAUCAACCGAGAUUUUGUCAGUAGCGGCGAGCGAAAGCGAAAGAGCCAGCAAGUGAUAGCAGCAAAGACAGAAGAAUUGGCUGGAAAGCCAAGCGACACAGGGUGAUAGCCCCGUAUUUUAAGUUUAUGUUGUGGUACUAAACUUGCAACAAGUAGGGCGGGACACGAGAAAUCCUGUUUGAAGAUGGGGGGACCAUCCUCCAAGGCUAAAUACUCCUGAUUGACCGAUAGUGAACCAGUACUGUGAAGGAAAGGCGAAAAGAACCCCAGUGAGGGGAGUGAAAUAGAACCUGAAACCGUGUACGUACAAGCAGUGGGAGCCCUUUUGGGUGACUGCGUACCUUUUGUAUAAUGGGUCAGCGACUUAUAUUUUGUAGCGAGGUUAACUGAAUAAGGGAGCCGAAGGGAAACCGAGUCUUAACUGGGCGGUGAGUUGCAAGGUAUAGACCCGAAACCCGGUGAUCUAGCCAUGGGCAGGUUGAAGGUUGGGUAACACUAACUGGAGGACCGAACCGACUAAUGUUGAAAAAUUAGCGGAUGACUUGUGGCUGGGGGUGAAAGGCCAAUCAAACCGGGAGAUAGCUGGUUCUCCCCGAAAUCUAUUUAGGUAGAGCCUUAUGUGAAUACCUUCGGGGGUAGAGCACUGUUUCGGCUAGGGGUCCAUCCCGGAUUACCAACCCGAUGCAAACUGCGAAUACCGAAGAGUAAUGCAUAGGAGACACACGGUGGGUGCUAACGUCCAUCGUGGAGAGGGAAACAACCCAGACCGCCAGCUAAGGUCCCAAAGUCUAUAUUAAGUGGGAAACGAAGUGGGAAGGCUUAGACAGCUAGGAUGUUGGCUUAGAAGCAGCCACCAUUUAAAGAAAGCGUAAUAGCUCACUAGUCGAGUCGGCCUGCGCGGAAGAUGUAACGGGGCUAAAAUAUAGCACCGAAGCUGCGGCAUCAGGCGUAUCACAAAUACGCCUUCGAUUAACAACAUCGAAUGAAGUGAAACGGAAUAAGAUGUUGGUCAAGCACCCAACACGUUGAGUUGGCAUAAAGUGCGGAUAGAAAUCAGAGGAAUAUUUGUGAUACGCCUGUUGGGUAGGGGAGCGUUGUGUAAGCGGAUGAAGGUGAAUCGAGAGGUUUGCUGGACGUAUCACAAGUGCGAAUGCUGACAUAAGUAACGAUAAAACGAGUGAAAAACUCGUUCGCCGGAAGACCAAGGGUUCCUGUCCAACGUUAAUCGGGGCAGGGUGAGUCGGCCCCUAAGGCGAGGCUGAAAAGCGUAGUCGAUGGGAAACGGGUUAAUAUUCCCGUACUUGGUAAAGCUGCGAUGUGGGGACGGAGAAGGUUAGGUUAGCAGACUGUUGGAUGUCUGUUUAAGUUGGUAGGUGGGAAGUUUAGGCAAAUCCGGACUUCCAUAACACUGAGAGAUGAUGACGAGUUUCUACGGAAAUGAAGUAACUGAUACCACGCUUCCAGGAAAAGCCACUAAGCGAAAGGCUUUACUAAACCGUACUGAAAACCGACACAGGUGGUCAGGUAGAGAAUACUCAGGCGCUUGAGAGAACUCGGGUGAAGGAACUAGGCAAAAUAGCACCGUAACUUCGGGAGAAGGUGCGCUGGCGUAGGUUGUAGGAGUAUACCNNNNNNNNNNNNNNNNNNNNNNNNNNNNNNNNNNNNNNNNNNNNNNNNNNNNNNNNNNNNNNNNNNNNNNNNNNNNNNNNNAGGUUGUAGGAGUAUACCUCCGAAGGCUGAACCAGUCGAAGAUACCAGCUGGCUGCAACUGUUUAUUAAAAACACAGCACUCUGCAAACACGAAAGUGGACGUAUAGGGUGUGAUGCCUGCCCGGUGCUGGAAGGUUAAUUGAUGGUGUUAUCGAAAGAGAAGCUCCUGAUCGAAGCCCCAGUAAACGGCGGCCGUAACUAUAACGGUCCUAAGGUAGCGAAAUUCCUUGUCGGGUAAGUUCCGACCUGCACGAAUGGCAUAAUGAUGGCCAGGCUGUCUCCACCCGAGACUCAGUGAAAUUGAAAUCGCCGUGAAGAUGCGGUGUACCCGCGGCUAGACGGAAAGACCCCGUGAACCUUUACUAUAGCUUGACACUGAACAUUGAAUUUUGAUGUGUAGGAUAGGUGGGAGACUUAGAAGCAGGCACGCCAGUGCUUGUGGAGUCGUCCUUGAAAUACCACCCUUUAACGUUUGAUGUUCUAACGAAGAUUACGAAACGUGGUCUCGGACAGUGUCUGGUGGGUAGUUUGACUGGGGCGGUCUCCUCCCAAAGCGUAACGGAGGAGCACGAAGGUUUGCUAAUCACGGUCGGACAUCGUGAGGUUAGUGCAAUGGUAUAAGCAAGCUUAACUGCGAGACAGACAAGUCGAGCAGGUGCGAAAGCAGGUCAUAGUGAUCCGGUGGUUCUGAAUGGAAGGGCCAUCGCUCAACGGAUAAAAGGUACUCCGGGGAUAACAGGCUGAUACCGCCCAAGAGUUCAUAUCGACGGCGGUGUUUGGCACCUCGAUGUCGGCUCAUCACAUCCUGGGGCUGAAGUAGGUCCCAAGGGUAUGGCUGUUCGCCAUUUAAAGUGGUACGCGAGCUGGGUUUAGAACGUCGUGAGACAGUUCGGUCCCUAUCUGCCGUGGGCGUUGGAGAAUUGAGAGGGGCUGCUCCUAGUACGAGAGGACCGGAGUGGACGCAUCACUGGUGUACCAGUUGUCUCGCCAGAGGCAUUGCUGGGUAGCUAAAUGCGGAAGAGAUAAGUGCUGAAAGCAUCUAAGCACGAAACUCGCCUUAAGAUGAGUUCUCCCUAGCUAUAAGCUAGUAAGGGUUGUUGAAGACUACGACGUAGAUAGGUCUGGUGUGUAAGCGGUGUGAGCCGUUGAGCUAACAGAUACUAAUUGCCCGAGAGGCUUAACUAUACAACCUCAAGCGUU